GCUCCAUUCACUCCCAUUCUUUGAGGACUCACUCGCGGGCGCCCUCUGCUGUUUAGCAGGCCUGUUGUUGUAACGGGGGGAUAUGAAGUGGCCAGGCUCCCCAUAAACCGGCUCUGUUUUAACCCUGUCCAGAAGAGAACUGCACCUGAACUCGUGCUCCGUUCAGCUCUGCUGAGCUCUCUCUGUCCUGCUGCGGGCAGUUGAGUCCAGCAUGAGCUUUUCAAAGGUAACAAACAGCACGAGCUUUCAGCGCGCGCUCACUGCAGAAGCACGAGUCUUCCUGAGAGUGUCUGAGUGGACAUCGCACCAUGAAAAGGCUCAUCAUUGGGAUUGGGGGUAUGACAAAUGGAGGUAAAAGCACGCUGAGCAGGAGCCUUCAGGGAAUUGUCCCAAACAGCUGCAUCCUUUCCCAAGAUUCUUUCUUCAAAGAUGACUCAGUGGUGCCUGUUGACAGCCACGGUUUCAAGCAGUAUGACACAUUGGAUGCCCUACACAUGGACAGGAUGAUGAGCGAGGUCAGAUCCUGGGUGCAGGACCCUCAGAGGUUCAUGCUGUCUCACGGUCUCUCAGUUCAGGAUUCCAGUGUGUUCGCUCUCAUAGUGGAGGGCUUUCUCAUCUUUAAUUAUGGACCCCUGAAUGAGCUUUUUGACAAGAGAUACUUCUUACAGAUACCUUACGAGACAUGUAAGCUGAGGAGAGGCUCGAGGGUCUACAUGCCUCCAGAUCCCAUGGGCUAUUUUGACGGACAUGUCUGGCCGAUGUACCUGAAAAACCGAAAAGAAAUGGAGAACAUGGUGCAGGAUCUGGUGUUUCUAGAUGGAACUCAGAAGAGAGAAGAUUUGCUGGCCGCGGUUUAUAAAGACAUCCAGCAGAUGUUUACAGCUGUGUAGAACUGUGUAGAAGUGAGUUUCAGGUUCUGUGGUGAAGAGUCAAGGAGAAAAUCUGACCAUGGUGUGCACCACAGAGGACACUGACCCAGUAGGUUUAUAUCUACAUCUAAGACGCCCUGAGAAACAUAAAGUAUUUUACUAUGACAUCAGCAGUUGACACCACCCCGCGCCCCCGAGUAGAUGGAAGAGUCGCCAUCCAUUCUUGGCAACUCCAAGAAGCUAACAGCGACUAUAACUAGUCUACGAGUGAACGAGUCGGGCGUCUACUCCUGCGUCUUUGUCCUUUAUGAUGGAAAACGUAGAAAAGGAGAUGAAAGGUGCUCUGCUGUUUGUGAAAGAAUUUCUUUGACAUGGUGGCAACUGAAGUUUGGCGGAGGAGGGAUAAUGAUCUGGGGCUGUUUUUCAUGGUUUGGGUUCCCUAGUUCCAGUGAAAGGUGAUCUUAAUUCUACCACAUCCAAUCACAUUCUUACAGAACUGUCCCCAAACAGGCAGAAACACACAGGGUCUGGAACUGGGACUAACAAUGGAACAAGGACAAGGACAGGGACACUGACUGGAACAGAGAUUAUAGAGACAAAUGAGAGGUUAGCCUAACUAGGCUGGUUCAAGUUAACCUAACUAAAUCAAGAGUAAACAGAACUUGAGAAGGCAGAGUGCUGCCAACUAAACUAUUUAAAAUAAUUGAGCUGUUUGCUGCAGAAGUGUGAAUCACUGAAAAAUAUGAAAGUGACUAUAAUUCAAAUAUAAAGCUAUUUAAACUAAAACCGGUUCAGUAACUACAUUUCAUUUUUUCGAGGUAAUACGUUUGCAUGAUUUCUUUUAAAGUCAACUAAUUUAUGUUUACAGUAGUGAGUGACAAACUCGCUACCUUCAUUUUUGAUGGUCUGGUCUUAUAUCAUCAAUGAGGCUUUAAAGCAUGAUAAAUAUAAUCUAAAUAUAAUAAAAUAAUAAAACUUUGGCCCCGGUUAUUAAAGGGAAGGAAAGAGAACCGUUAGUAUACCCACAAAGAAAACACAGGUCUAUAAACAUACAAAUGGACACAAGACAAGAAAACUAUAUAUACGGGGAACUAUAUAUGGGGAACAGAAACCCAGAAGACUGAGAACAAGGCAGGACUCUGCAGGAGACAUGGGGACGAAGGAGACUAGAGAGGAUGAAGCCUGGACAGCGAAACUGACGAUUUCAACUCAGAUCAUUCUGUGCUCUGACACACGUGCUGCAUGAAGUAACAUCAGUCUUGCGGACGCAGCCUUGAUGAAGACUCUGAGUGUGACUCUCUGCUUUACUGCUGUUCUGUUCAGCCAAUACAGCGUCGCUCUGACAGCAGGCUCUGUGAUGAAGAAUCAAGGAGAAACUCUGACCAUGGUGUGCACCACAGAGGACACUGACCCAAUAGGUUUAUACCUACGUCUAAGAUGCCCUGAGAAACAUGAAGUAUUUUACUAUGACAUCGGCAGUAAAACACUGACAAUCCCCCCUGAGUUCGAGGAAAGAAUUACUGUCAGUGGUGACCCCAAGAAGCUAACAGUAACCAUCACUAGUCUACGAGUGAACGAGUCGGGCGUCUACUCCUGCGUCUUUAACUUUUUUGAUGUAAAACGUGUAGAAAAGGAGACGAAUGGUGCUCUGCUGUUUGUGAAAGGAGUGAAAGAACCGUCUGCCAUGCCAGAGAUGCUGGUGCUGGUGUCCGUACUUCUGGUCUGCACUGUGUUCAUACUGUGUGUGCUGGUGACCGUGGUGUGGAUAAUACCCAAAGUGAAGGCCCUGUGAGCAAGUUGACGAGACGGAUUGUUCCAAGACUCCGGGGCUUCCAGGGUCUCCUCCCUUGUCUAGCAUACUCCAGGACUCCAUUUCCCAUAAUUCCAGUCCUGAUGAUGCCACCAAUUCCUCCAAUCAUGUGCAACUGCCUCAUUCUCAGUCACCUGAUUUCUAAUUCAGUUCACCUGUGCUUGAGUUUGUCUUAAAGCUUAAAUAGUCCCUGGUUUGUUCUGCUCUUUGCGUGGUAUUGCCAAUUUCUUGGACUGAGUGGUUUUCUGGUUGUUUGACUUGUGCCUUUAACUUUUGUCUGCUUUCUGAAUUUCACUCUUUUGGAUUUGCCCUUUUGCUCUGGUAGCAAAUGUUUUGGUUAUUCCUGUUUUUGACCUCUGUUGGUUUUUGGACUACAAUACUGGAUUUGCCCCGAGACUGUGUUUUACUUGAGCUUACGUACUGAUUAAACUCUCUCAUUAAACAGACUUCUAUUUUUAAGAUCCA
Molecule: RNA transcript, 3144 nt
Organism: Pygocentrus nattereri (red-bellied piranha)
Lineage: Eukaryota; Metazoa; Chordata; Actinopteri; Characiformes; Serrasalmidae
Gene name: nicotinamide riboside kinase 1-like
Exons: 13
Source: RefSeq, a predicted model, not a curated record